Ictidomys tridecemlineatus (thirteen-lined ground squirrel) is the source of this 9378-nucleotide non-coding RNA. The record is from RefSeq and is a predicted model, not a curated record. Lineage: Eukaryota; Metazoa; Chordata; Mammalia; Rodentia; Sciuridae.
AAAUCAAUCACAUGUUUUUGGAUAACCCCGCGUGUCUAAAAUCGAUCAUUUCCACAGAUAAUCAUAAUAAAUUAAUUACCAAGAUAUUUCAGACUUCCUUUUUCAUACUUUACAAACUGGUGUAUCUUUUAUACUCAGAACUCACCCCCACCAGGACCAGCAACGUUUCCAGAGCUCUGUGUCCCCACAUGGCUGCGGUGCUGGCAGCACAGAUCUAGGGAGUCAUUUAGUCACGUUGAAGUCUCUGGGUCUAGCCUUCUUCCCACCUGCUUCCAAAUGGUUUGUUAAAUAGCAGUAGAUCAGGAGGUACUUGAACAGUGGGAAGUCUAAACUCUUCUCCUCCCAAAAGGAAGGAUUUGAAAUGGGCGUUAUAAAAAUUUAGAAAUCUCAUGCUUUAUCACAAAUUCUCCCACCUGACAGUAAGAUAUAGUAACCAUCUUUGACCACAUAAAACCAACAGCAAACUUCAGCCUGUACUAGUGAGAAUUAUUACCUACUAAAACAUGCUUGUUAUUAAAUACAUUUUUAAAAAAGCUAUUCCACAGUAUUUAGACAGAUACAUCCUUUUAUUUAGAAAACUGCAUCUGGAAAUAAUCCUCAGCAAGUGGCCUAUUAAGGCAAAUAUGCAAUACUAAAUGUUCUAUUAUUAAAUUAGACACUUGAAUAGGGGAACAUUUAUUAUUCUCUGGGUACAAACAUUCGAGAUUGAGAAUAAUUGUUUUUUAAUUCAGGAAAAGUACUUACUGAUGCUUUUGUAUGUGUGUUUCAUGAAGUAUGCAGAAUUGUUAGAAUUAGAUGAUCAAAGUAGACCAGCCUUUGGUCCUCACACAUAAUCUGUGUUACUCUUUGAAUUGUGAGCUUUUUGGGGAUAUAGCAUAAGAGAUGAAAAAUGCACAGGAUUUGAGGUCAGAGACCCACUUCCUUUGCUGUGAAACCAUGGAGAAAAUGUGUUGAAUUUCUCCCAGGCUCAUAGUUUUCAGUCCAUUACCUGGAGAUAAAAGCACUGUUUUCACAGAGACCUUAUGAAUAUUGAACUUGACCUUGAACAUCAAGAACGGAUCACAACGUCUAACACACAGUGGCAGCAAGAAGAGGUGCCACCCUCAUAAGUGAGCGUCCCAUUCCUGAGGGGAAAUGUAAACACUUUGCUACGGAGUAGAUCUGAUGUGAGUCUGGGCAGUGUUUGCCCCAUGGCCGCUGCCGGAAGGACUCGUGAAACAGAUGAAAGGGAACACUCAGACAGCGUUAUGGCCAGGUGCAUGGGAACACACAGGAGCUGCAUCUCUUACCCUCCUUCUUAGGGAUAAGGGCUGGAGGCAGACAUCUAUUAAAUAACCUGAGACACCACACCUCUUCCUUUCACGGUUGCCAUAGGGAAGUCAGGGGUCCAUCUCAUGAUGGCUUCUUUGCAAGCAAUCUGCCUUUGUUUUUCUCUCCGGUUGUUCAGAUUUCUCUCUUGGUUGGGUUUCUGGAGUUUCCCAAUGAUAUAUCUAGGUUUGGUUUUCUUUUUAUUUACUAACUUGGGAUACCUUAGACUUCUGAAAUCUGUGGUUGGCUAUCUUAGCUCAGUUCUGGAAAUUUAUCAUCCUCUAUUCCCUUAAAUAGUUCCUCUUUCCAUGCACCCCCAAUGAAAGUUCAAGUUUGUCUGUACUGGCAACUAUUUUUAGGGCAAAAGUGACUCUGUCCAGGUGUGUCUCUCUGGGUUUGCAAUUUUUUAAUAUUUAUUUAUUUAUUUUUUUAGUUUUCGGUGGACAUAACAUCUUUGUUUUAUUUGUAUAUGGUGCUGAGGAUCAAACUCAGCGCCCUGCACAUGCCAGGCUAGUGCGCCACUGCUUGAGCCACAUCCCCUGCCUGAGAGUUUGCAAUUUUCAUGGGCCUUUAGCUCAGCCAUUCCUUUCUACCUGCUGCUCUUUGAUGCUGUUAGAAGUUUUCAAAUAUUUUAUCCAGCACUUUUAGCUACAUUCUGUAGAAUUUGAACAAUCUAGCUCACCAUUGCCAAACAAAUAAAAAAUUUAAAAUGUUUAAAUAUACUCCAUGUGGAAUCAAAUUGGGGGCAGAUAGCAAAGAGGUAGGAAUCUAACUUUCCCUAAAUAUAUGGUCAAUUUUAUCAUUGUAUUUGAAGGGUAAAUAACUUCUGCAUCUAUUCAAUAACUUCUGCUCUAUGCCACAUUUUCAUAUAGCAAGACCCCAGUUAUAAUUUAAAGCUUUUUUUAAGCUCUUAAUGCUGCUUAAUUUAUUCAAUUAAAUUAAACCAAUUUCAUCCUGUUUUAAUUACUAUACAUAAUGGAAUAUAUGUAUAUAUUUGUAUCUUCCAGGGUGAAAUUUUACCCUCAUUAUUCUUAAGUAUAGGACAAUACAGUAAAUGGUUACUAUCUUAUUAUACUUAACUCUUCAACAUUAAUCCUACUCAUAGAUAUGUGAAAUAUGUAUGACUUGUUUUGCUAGUUGCUGGAGAUACAAAGAAGUAUAACAUAGCUGGGUAUGUGGUACAUGCUUAUGUGACUUGGAAGGCUGAGACAGGAGGAUUGCAAGUUUGAAGCCAGCCUCAACAACUAAGCGAGAUCCUGUCUUAAAAUUACAGAUAAAAAAAGGACUGGGGAUGUAGCUCAGUGGUAAAGCACCCCUGGGUUCAGUUCCCAGUGUAACCCUCCUUCAAAAGAAAAAAAAAAAGAAAUUUAACAUAAAAUACUAGCUUUGGUGGAUUUUAUACUCAUAAGCAGAAAAGAUAUAUUGUUAGGAAAAUGAAGAAACUACAUGAGUUAAAUAACAAAGGCAAAUUAUAGAGGGAAAGAUGUGUCAUAUGGUAAUGACCAAGUACUAUGAGUUCAAAGCAAAAAUGCCUAUGAACUGGGAUGUUCUGGUUUGGCUUUUUGGAUACUAAAGAAUUUGACUUUGAAUGAUAGGUUGAUGGAGAGCCUGGAAUCGGGGGGACUUAUGCAAGGUCAUUUAUAUCCGUGGCUUUGUGAGUAGACCGUGCCAUCAGUGGGGGUGGUCUUGAAAAGUGGGAAAUGAUAUUUGAGAGGUAAGUUGGCACUAGAUUACCCCAGAUCUUUAUCAUCCAGUGGAUUAGUUUUCUAUAGCUGCUGUAACAACUUAGUACCUUAAAACAACACGUUUGUUGCCUUACAGUUCUGGGGGUCAGAAGUCCAAAAUGGGUCUCCCUGGGCUAGAGCAGGGUGGUGGCAGGCUGUGAGUUUCUGCAGCCGCUGGGGGAGAAUCCGCUUUGUGGCCUCUUCAGGUCCUGGAGGCUGCCGGGAUGCCCUGGCUCACAUGCCCUCCACGGCAAAGCCAGCGUGGGCUCUCACCGUUUUCCCCACGCCAUUACCUCGACACCCAGUCCUCUGCUUCCCUCUUGCGUAGACUGUAAUGACCCACCCAGAUAAUCUAGAGCCAUUUCCUUACAUUUAAGGUCAGCUGAUCAGCAGCCUCAAUUCCCUUGAAAACGGAAAGCCUCCUUGCCCCGUGUGAUGGUCAGUAGUAUGUGUCCACUUGGUGGGCUAUCGUGUCCAGGUGUUCAUGGAAACUCUAAGGGUUGCCACGAAGGUUAACAUCCACACCCAACCGACUUUAAGUCAAGGAGUGUAUUAUCAGUGUAUGGGGAAGGCCUCCCCUCAUCAGGUGAAAGGCCUGAAGCAAUCACUGAGGUUUCCCAGCAGAAGAAGUUCUGCUCAGGACUCGGUGUCCAUUCCUGCCCGAGAGUCAAGACUGAUGGCCUGCCCACAGGGUGGGACUGGCCAAUCCCUCCUGGCUAACGUAAAUGGAUUCAUGCAGAAAUCCAUGUGGAUAGGAAAUGCACCUUAUUACAUUCUAUACACACACCAUGCACACAGGUACACAUAACCUUGGGGGGCAUUGUUCUGUCCAGCACAGCUGGCUAAAGAGUUGACUUCUUUGGUUCAAGAUGUCAUUGACGAGCUGUGAGUGGGCUGUGGCAGGGCUGGGAAGGGUAGUCAUGCGCACUCAGUCUUCUGAAUUGCACUCUCCUGCUUAGGAACGGGCCUUGGGCCUGGAGCACAUCCUUACCAGGAGAUCCAGCGUUCUCCCAGCAUGUGUGGGGCUUGUCACCUGUGUGGGGCUUGUCACCUGUGUGGGGGUGUACUGCCAUUUCAGACUCAGUCGGUGCUCCUGUUCUGCCUCAGUGUGGGUCCAUCACGUGGCACCUGUAUGGCCCACGGCUCUAGCUGUCCUCUGGAGGAGGGUCCUUCUGCAGCAGCAGGAGACGGGGUGUGCAGGUUAGUGGCCCUGGGUUGGCUGCUGGAAGGUGUCCUGGCCUGUGGGAACGGUGCCCCUCACCAAAGCUCACCUUGCCAUCCCUUCUCUCGCUCCAUCGUGUUUUCCUCCGUGACCGAGAGCAGCCCGCAGCGGCAGGAGUGCUUGGACUUCUGCUCCCGGUGGUAGGCAACAGAUGCCGCUGGAGCGACAGAUAGGAUGAAAGAUUAAUUUUACCAUGCUGUGUCGGACUCAGUGUGUGCUGAGGGACAGACACAUCUAGCUGCAAAGAGAUGUGGUUCUGGGUCGGAGCAGGAAUGAAAAGUAAAGUGUUUCAAAGGCUCCGGAAAUAAGAAUGAAUAGAGAUUGCCCUUAAUUUUAUAUGGAGGGAGCGGGUAGGACAGAUAGACGAUUUUAAACCCGUAGUCAUUUGAAAAAUUUCCAGGUUCAGGGGAUGGCCACCAUGCCAUUAAUUUAAGCAGGCAAAAAUUAAUAUAAAGGAUCUUUAAUUAGUAAAAGGCAGUUAGCUGUCAAUAGGGGUAAGAUGGUGUCUGUCUUGGGAGGCAGAAAACCACAGCUACUGCAUCUAUGACUGAGGGAAGGUGAGCAGGAAAAGAGCUUUGCAACUUAGAAGGGCCUGUAGGAGACCUCUGUGGAGACGCUAUGGGAGCCACAGAUGUGCAUCCUGCCAGGGGUGGAUGGGGCAGGCCGAAGCUGGUACCCAGGAACAUGUGUCUCCAAGUGGCAGAGAACGUGCUGCAAGGGCAGCCCAGGCUGGUCUGGCCUGUGCGGACCCGAGGCUACAUGCUACAGGACCUCUGCAGGGUGCUUGGGAAGAAAAGAAGAAGGGUCCCUUCUUCCUUGUUUGGCCUUGCAGCCUGGCCCCUGUCCCCCCUGAGAACGAAACGACCAUCAGGCUAACUGCCAAAAGGGAAAUGACAAGGCCCAGUUCCAGUGUCUGUGAGCUGAGCAAGGAAAAGUGGGCGUCAGCAGAGGAACAAUAAAUCAACCAGUAGCACAGCUUCUGUUAUUCAAAAGUUUGCUAGGAAAAUAGCAGUCAGUGGAGAUUACAGAAAGGUGACGAGAGGUGACAAGAUCACACCAAGAUGAAGUCCUUCAUUUAACAGGCCUUUGGGGACAGUGAGUAGAAAAUAAAUCUCCAACUUUCUUUCUUUUUUUUUUUUUAAAGAGAGAGAGAGAAUUUUUAAAAAUAUUUAUUUUUUUUUAGUUCUCAGCGGACACAACAUCUUUGUUGUAUGUGGUGCUGAGGAUUGAACCCAGGCCGCACGCAUGCCAGGUGAGCGCGCUACCACUUGAGCCACAUCCCCAGCCCAAAUCUCCAACUUUCCUAAAGGAGAACGGGACCCUGAAGAGGCACGAUGACCAGAAGCCCUGCCCCUCGGGCAUCACAGGGAAAGCUGGUGACCGCUCACUGGAAAACAGGUCGCAUUACUUUUUUACUUAUCCUGAGUCGCGGGAAGGAGAAGGACGUGAGUUGAUUUCAUAGGUGAUUGAGAGCGAAGAGGCUGGAAUGCUGGUCCCCUCUUCUGGGGCCUGUUGGGAUAAAGUCCUCUUACCCGGGUCCACCCUUCAAUGUGCUGUUUCUCCACGUGUCCUCUUUGCCGCGUCCCAUGUUCCGCUCCCCAGCUGCCCACAUCCAAGAUCCCUGCUGUUCACUGUUCGCAUAGCUUUGGUCAAAACUAUGUACUUCUUCGAAACAGGGCUUUGACAUAGGUAAAAUGAAAAGUCGGAAUUAGAGAUUUCCAAGAUUCCGUGGACUCUGUCAAAACUUUAAAAAAAAAUCCAUUUUUAAAAAUAGUUUCAGAUAGACAUGUGCAAACAUGGGUCUCCCAGGGUGGUGCGUGGAACUGAAUUAGUUAACAGGGAGUCAGAAUGCGGCAUGGUGGACACUCCCAGGUGAGGUCCGUUCCUUGGACUUGCCUGAGGUCGUGUAAGCUGAACUUGGCUCUGCCUGCUGCCUCUCUCCCCACCCUGCAGGCACCUCAGUAGGAAACCCCGAUCCCCACUCUAGCUCCUGGUUGGCUCCUAGAGAAGGUGUGCAUGUCCUGUCCAUCGCCUCCCCCAGUCUCAGCAAUUGGCGUCCGCCCUUCACCUCACCAUUGAAAUCAAACCACAGAGUACGUUGGCUGUCAAAUCCAGGGACACUUUUUGUAGUUUUCAAUCAGAUCGCCCCGCUGCACGGGGCAAUCUUCUGACCAUUUCUGAGCACCCAGUCCUUAAGUUAUCCACAGUGGGGCUUUGGGUGUUCCUGUGGCGUUUCCUUCAAUAUCUCUUGACUUUCUCGUUGGUCUUCAUGAAAUUUGGUUUCCUUUUCACGGCACUUAAACACAUAUUGAAAUAAUCUCUCUCUAGUCUGUCUUCUUCACUAGGUUGUUGGUGAUUUCAAAAUAAAGAUGGUAGUCUUUACACUAUUAUGUUCCUAGGGACGGUUUUGCAGCCUUUCUUUCUUUUUCCUUUUUUGGCAGCAUGGUCUGUUGGUUUAUCCCUGUUACAGUGCUGGGUGGAUGCAAGAUCAGAUACGAUCAGAUUACCUUCAGCUGUUAGUAAACCCAGUGUCUUGAAUCCGCGCCCUGGCGGCCUCUCCAGGAGCACGUUGAGGAUGGGCGUGUGGAGCCAGCCACUGACGGAGGAGAUGUCCAGGCGCGGCUGAUCUCACCCACAUCGAGUGGUUUCACACAUUUCAAUUCCGGAGUGGAUUUUUCUAUGUCCCCAGAACAUACAGGGAGCACGUCUCAUGGGAGACUGGCUUUUACUUCUCCCAAAGCAGCAUUUCUCUUUGUCUCUCUCCCAGCCCCUUAACCAACUGCCACCACCUUCUGGUUGAGAGUAUGAAGCCGCCAGGACCCUAUUCCUGAAACUCCACUAGUUUAGCUUGUGUAUACUUGUAGAGUGCAAGUGAAUUUUAUUAAAUUAAAAAACUUAUCAUAUGCAUAUCACAUAGAAUAAUUUACUUUGGGAUAUAAUUCAUCUACUUCGUUAACAUUUUUUUUUUUUUGUGCCAGGGAUUGAACCUAGGGGUGCUUACCCACUGAGCUACAUCCCCAGCAUUUUUUAUUUUUUAUGUAGAGACAGGGUCUCACUGAGUUGCUAACGGCCUUGCUCAAUUGCUGACGCUGGCUUUGAGCUUGCAAUCCUCCUGUCUCGGUCGCCCAUGUUGCUGGGACGACAGGUCUGCGCCACCACACCCAGCCAACAUGCUCUUUGGAGUUGCUGUUUCCUCUACAUUAAGCAGAACUCUGUUAAUUACUCUCUGGAUGAAGGCUGUUUCCCCCAGGGAAGAGAGGGUGGUGGGCAGAUGCUGGAGGGAGAAAUACAGCCUCUCAGGAAGGAUGAAACAGACACCCAAAUGUAGAGUGGACUGCCAUAAUCAGAAAGCUCACGAACGACUUGGUCAAUUUUCAUUUUGUCAACUGAAGAAGCAACAGAUCCACCAGAUGGGGCUCUAAUAUUUUUUUGGUUCAGCAACUGAAAAUCCAAGUAUUUAGUGGUAUUUUUAGAGAAAAAAAUACGUCUUCUAUAUUAACCUCCAGGAGAAUUUGCCUGAGAUGGGAUUAUGACUCUAAUAAGCAUCAUCAUGGCUUGAUAUCUUUUAAUUCUCAUGAGUGACUUAUAAAGAAAGUGGUCAAUUUGCUGAAAAAUGAGGCACCCAAAAUAGUUGAAUUAAAUCAGUUCAAGUCGUUCUGAGUUAAAUCCUUCUGGAGCCUUCUUGGAGGAAAGAAACAUUUAUACAUAAAUAGGUGCAUUAUUAGUACAGUGCAUCAGCCUUUUAGCUUGGUGGAGGUUCUCUUUGGCGGAGGACAAUUCUUUUUUUUCCUUAAUUGAUUAAUUUCUUAAAUUGACAAAUGCGAUUUGUAUGUACCUGUUGUGUACAACAUGACUUUUUGAAAUGUGUAUUCAUUAUAGAAAGGCUCACGCAUCCCAGAGCUUACCGACAGCUUAAAAUGUGAAUUAUUUAAAAUUAUAUUAAGUUGUUGUGAAAUUCAUCACAGCUGCAAUAUACUCAGUCCAAUUUAGUUAUUUUGAUAGGUCACACUUUAAAUAUUGUAAAAUCAAGAUUCUUCAGGGCUGGUAUAUGAUUUUGGCAAGGGACACAUUGUGCUUCUCUUUUUCUGAGGUUUAGAUUUGGAAACCGGAGCCUCGCCUUGGACUCCUUUCUCCAUGACUCAUAACUUUUGUUCAACCUGGAAGGAAUGCCAGCUUGGGAAGAUGGCAGAGCUUUGCUUCAGGGGGAAGGUGGGUCUAAGUCACAGACGUGAGAUUGAGCUGGACCUUCAGAGUGUACUGGGUACACAUCCAUAAUGGUGGCCACAGGCGGGUCUUCAGCCCUGGGGAGCUGGAGUCUUGGGAAACGCAGGUAUCCUUACUAGAAGUGGGAGAGAGGGGCAGGUAGCAUGGGGUCUGUCUAAGGAUGGAGACUUCCUCAGGAAGCCUUGUGAAGGUAAAAGAAGGUAAAAUCACUCCCCAGGUAACCACCCUUAUACCCUCUGCUUCCAGGAAUUCAUGGAUGUGAGAUCACGUGGUACCUGUCUUUCAGUGCCUGAAUUAUUUCACUAGGGUUAUGUCCUUCAGGCUCAUUCGCAGGGUUGCAAGUGAGAGGAUUUCUGUCCUUUUUAUGGCGGAAUAAUAUUCCACUGGGCAUAUUUACUGCGUUCAUCUGCUGUCGGACACCCGGGCCAAUUCUGCAUCUUGGCUGUUGUGUUUCAGUGAACGCGGGAGUGCAGAUGUCUCCAUGACGUACCGUUGGACGUGUACCCAGGAGUGUCAUUGCUGAAUCAUAUGCCAGUUCUGUUUCUUUUUUUUUUUUUUUAUUCAGUAAAUUGUUAAAGUUUAAUUUACUCUUGAAACAAACAACAUUCUUUUAAGAAGCUGUUUUCUUGCUUUUGCACAAGGUCAAUUUAAAGUCAAUCCAGGCAAACAAGAUCAGAAAAAGCAGCAUACUCCUCUAAUCCAUUUAGCAAAUGUUGCAAAUUAGUUUCUACUUGAAUAAUCAAACAGAGAAAUGUCUGAAACUCUACAGUUGGUGUCAGUUUUAACAUGUUGAUGUCAGCCAUGACAGGUAGAAGUAGCCAAGUCCCAUAUACAUGAAGAAGCAGAAAUAAUUGUGAAGACUUAGCAGCUCUUCUAAAGAUUAAAGACAAAUUAUGUUUA